AAAACAAAAGUGAACGCUGGCGGUAGGCCUAACACAUGCAAGUCGAACGGCAGCACAGAGGAGCUUGCUCCUUGGGUGGCGAGUGGCGGACGGGUGAGGAAUACAUCGGAAUCUACUCUGUCGUGGGGGAUAACGUAGGGAAACUUACGCUAAUACCGCAUACGACCUACGGGUGAAAGCAGGGGAUCUUCGGACCUUGCGCGAUUGAAUGAGCCGAUGUCGGAUUAGCUAGUUGGCGGGGUAAAGGCCCACCAAGGCGACGAUCCGUAGCUGGUCUGAGAGGAUGAUCAGCCACACUGGAACUGAGACACGGUCCAG
RNAcentral lists this ribosomal RNA (318 nucleotides) under uncultured Pseudomonas sp. RNAcentral's name for it is "bacterial SSU rRNA". It matches the Rfam family "Bacterial small subunit ribosomal RNA", at positions 26 to 334 of the family's 1533-position model. Lineage: Bacteria; Pseudomonadati; Pseudomonadota; Gammaproteobacteria; Pseudomonadales; Pseudomonadaceae. The record is from RNAcentral.